This 397-nucleotide ribosomal RNA is filed under the name uncultured bacterium. RNAcentral describes it as "partial 16S ribosomal RNA". It matches the Rfam family "Bacterial small subunit ribosomal RNA", at positions 523 to 918 of the family's 1533-position model. The record is from RNAcentral.
AUACGUAGGUGGCAAGCGUUGUCCGGAUUUAUUGGGCGUAAAGCGAGCGCAGGCGGUUUCUUAAGUCUGAUGUGAAAGCCCCCGGCUCAACCGGGGAGGGUCAUUGGAAACUGGGAGACUUGAGUGCAGAAGAGGAGAGUGGAAUUCCAUGUGUAGCGGUGAAAUGCGUAGAUAUAUGGAGGAACACCAGUGGCGAAGGCGACUCUCUGGUCGGUAACUGACGCUGAGGGUCGAAAGCGUGGGGAGCAAACAGGAUUAGAUACCCUGGUAGUCCACGCCGUAAACGAUGAGUGCUAAGUGUUGGAGGGUUUCCGCCCUUCAGUGCUGCAGCUAACGCAUUAAGCACUCCGCCUGGGGAGUACGACCGCAAGGUUGAAGCUCAAAUGAAUUGGCGGGG